UCCCUGGUGGUCCAGUGGUUGUGACUCCUGCUGGUAAUGCAGGGGGCAUGGGUUCGAUCCCUGGCCAGGGAA
This 72-nucleotide transfer RNA is filed under the name Bos taurus (domestic cattle). It matches the Rfam family "tRNA". Rfam says of the family: Transfer RNA (tRNA) molecules are approximately 80 nucleotides in length. Their secondary structure includes four short double-helical elements and three loops (D, anti-codon, and T loops). Lineage: Eukaryota; Metazoa; Chordata; Mammalia; Artiodactyla; Bovidae. RNAcentral also lists the same sequence under 4 other names. The record is from Rfam by way of RNAcentral.